CCAACUGCAGGAGAUAGUGCUAAUCUUUUAAUAAAAGAUCCCAUUACAAUGGGAUCUGUCUGGACAGACUAUAAUAGAUCCAGAAAUACAGCCGUGCUAAUAUUAGAAGACAGUUGUUUGGGUGCCUCAGCCUGGGCCCGGGUCCCGCUUUGAAAGUGGGCAUGAAUCACAAUGUCCCCGGUGCCACCUGCAGUCACACGCAUUAAGCGGCAGACUGGUCACCUCAGGACUCUCUCUUUUACAAAGAACAUGUCUGUGUAAAGUUCUGGUGAGUGUGGAUGGAUUGCAAGAAAAACCUGAUUAUUUGAAAAAGUUCUGGAUUUGGAAUGAGAAAAUUUGGAAGCCUGUCCAGACACUUCCCCGCCUAAAAUUCAAGAGAGAUGAAGAAGCCUCUAGCACCCUCCCGUUGUCCUGGAUGUAUUUGUCAUCUGAGCAGGUUUCUCACACAUCCGGCUUCUUCCAUGGAACAGCUGCUCUGAUAAAGGUACUGGAUGAUGGACUGAACUAA
RNAcentral lists this long non-coding RNA (508 nucleotides) under Chrysolophus pictus (golden pheasant). Its description in RNAcentral is "lncRNA (ENSCPIG00010004821.1)". The record is from RNAcentral. Lineage: Eukaryota; Metazoa; Chordata; Aves; Galliformes; Phasianidae.